GUGUCAAGGGAUGGGAAUCGAACCCACGACCUUCCGCUUACCGGGCAGAUGCCAUGACCACUAAGCUAUAUA
Molecule: transfer RNA, 72 nt
Filed under: Cordylochernes scorpioides
Lineage: Eukaryota; Metazoa; Arthropoda; Arachnida; Pseudoscorpiones; Chernetidae
Description: tRNA-Thr
Source: RNAcentral